RNAcentral lists this ribosomal RNA (926 nucleotides) under uncultured bacterium. RNAcentral describes it as "bacterial SSU rRNA". It matches the Rfam family "Bacterial small subunit ribosomal RNA", at positions 8 to 916 of the family's 1533-position model. The record is from RNAcentral.
AGAGUUUGAUCAUGGCUCAGGACGAACGCUGGCGGCGUGCCUAAUACAUGCAAGUAGAACGCUGAAGAAAGGAGCUUGCUUCUUUUGGAUGAGUUGCGAACGGGUGAGUAACGCGUAGGUAACCUGCCUUGUAGCGGGGGAUAACUAUUGGAAACGAUAGCUAAUACCGCAUAACAGCUUUUGACACAUGUUAGAAGCUUGAAAGAUGCAAUUGCAUCACUACGAGAUGGACCUGCGUUGUAUUAGCUAGUAGGUAGGGUAACGGCCUACCUAGGCGACGAUACAUAGCCGACCUGAGAGGGUGAUCGGCCACACUGGGACUGAGACACGGCCCAGACUCCUACGGGAAGCAGCAGUAGGGAAUCUUCGGCAAUGGGGGCAACCCUGACCGAGCAACGCCGCGUGAGUGAAGAAGGUUUUCGGAUCGUAAAGCUCUGUUGUAAGAGAAGAACGUGUGUGAGAGUGGAAAGUUCACACAGUGACGGUAACUUACCAGAAAGGGACGGCUAACUACGUGCCAGCAGCCGCGGUAAUACGUAGGUCCUGAGCGUUGUCCGGAUUUAUUGGGCGUAAAGCGAGCGCAGGCGGUUUAAUAAGUCUGAAGUUAAAGGCAGUGGCUUAACCAUUGUUCGCUUUGGAAACUGUUAAACUUGAGUGCAGAAGGGGAGAGUGGAAUUCCAUGUGUAGCGGUGAAAUGCGUAGAUAUAUGGAGGAACACCGGUGGCGAAAGCGGCUCUCUGGUCUGUAACUGACGCUGAGGCUCGAAAGCGUGGGGGAGCAAACAGGAUUAGAUACCCUGGUAGUCCACGCCGUAAACGAUGAGUGCUAGGUGUUAGGCCCUUUCCGGGGCUUAGUGCCGCAGCUAACGCAUUAAGCACUCCGCCUGGGGAGUACGACCGCAAGGUGAAACUCAAAUGAAUUGACGG